GACGAACGCUGGCGGCGUGCUUAACACAUGCAAGUCGAACGGAAAGGCCCUGCUUUUGUGGGGUGCUCGAGUGGCGAACGGGUGAGUAACACGUGAGUAACCUGCCCUUGACUUUGGGAUAACUUCAGGAAACUGGGGCUAAUACCGGAUAGGAGCUCCUGCUGCAUGGUGGGGGUUGGAAAGUUUCGGCGGUUGGGGAUGGACUCGCGGCUUAUCAGCUUGUUGGUGGGGUAGUGGCUUACCAAGGCUUUGACGGGUAGCCGGCCUGAGAGGGUGACCGGCCACAUUGGGACUGAGAUACGGCCCAGACUCCUACGGGAGGCAGCAGUGGGGAAUAUUGCACAAUGGGCGGAAGCCUGAUGCAGCAACGCCGCGUGCGGGAUGACGGCCUUCGGGUUGUAAACCGCUUUCGCCUGUGACGAAGCGUGAGUGACGGUAAUGGGUAAAGAAGCACCGGCUAACUACGUGCCAGCAGCCGCGGUGAUACGUACGGUGCGAGCGUUGUCCGGAUUUAUUGGGCGUAAAGGGCUCGUAGGGGGUUGAUCGCGUCGGAAGUGUAAUCUUGGGGCUUAACCCUGAGCGUGCUUUCGAUACGGGUUGACUUGAGGAAGGUAGGGGAGAAUGGAAUUCCUGGUGGAGCGGUGGAAUGCGCAGAUAUCAGGAGGAACACCAGUGGCGAAGGCGGUUCUCUGGGCCUUUCCUGACGCUGAGGAGCGAAAGCGUGGGGAGCGAACAGGCUUAGAUACCCUGGUAGUCCACGCUGUAAACGGUGGGUACUAGGUGUGGGGUCCAUUCCACGGGUUCCGUGCCGUAGCUAACGCUUUAAGUACCCCGCCUGGGGAGUACGGCCGCAAGGCUAAAGCUCAAAGGAAUUGACGGGGCCCCGCACAAGCGGCGGAGCAUGCGGAUUAAUUCGAUGCAACGCGUAGAACCUUACCUGGGUUUGACAUGGAUCGGGAGCGCUCAGAGAUGGGUGUGCCUCUUUUGGGGUCGGUUCACAGGUGGUGCAUGGCUGUCGUCAGCUCGUGUCGUGAGAUGUUGGGUUAAGUCCCGCAACGAGCGCAACCCUUGUUCACUGUUGCCAGCACGUUAUGGUGGGGACUCAGUGGAGACCGCCGGGGUCAACUCGGAGGAAGGUGGGGAUGACGUCAAGUCAUCAUGCCCCUUAUGUCCAGGGCUUCACGCAUGCUACAAUGGCUGGUACAGAGAGUGGCGAGCCUGUGAGGGUGAGCGAAUCUCGGAAAGCCGGUCUCAGUUCGGAUUGGGGUCUGCAACUCGACCUCAUGAAGUCGGAGUCGCUAGUAAUCGCAGAUCAGCAACGCUGCGGUGAAUACGUUCCCGGG
This 1343-nucleotide ribosomal RNA is filed under the name uncultured bacterium. Its description in RNAcentral is "16S ribosomal RNA". It matches the Rfam family "Bacterial small subunit ribosomal RNA", at positions 28 to 1378 of the family's 1533-position model. The record is from RNAcentral.